GGGGUCUUAGCUCAGCUGGGAGAGCGCCUGCUUUGCACGCAGGAGGUCAGGGGUUCGAUCCCCCUAGACUCCACCA
RNAcentral lists this transfer RNA (76 nucleotides) under Neobacillus niacini. RNAcentral's name for it is "tRNA-Ala". It matches the Rfam family "tRNA". From Rfam's summary of the family: Transfer RNA (tRNA) molecules are approximately 80 nucleotides in length. Their secondary structure includes four short double-helical elements and three loops (D, anti-codon, and T loops). Lineage: Bacteria; Bacillati; Bacillota; Bacilli; Caryophanales; Bacillaceae. The record is from RNAcentral. RNAcentral also lists the same sequence under 36 other names.